GAUGAACGCUGGCGGCGUGCCUAAUACAUGCAAGUCGAGCGAACAGACGAGGAGCUUGCUCCUCUGACGUUAGCGGCGGACGGGUGAGUAACACGUGGAUAACCUACCUAUAAGACUGGGAUAACUUCGGGAAACCGGAGCUAAUACCGGAUAAUAUAUUGAACCGCAUGGUUCAAUAGUGAAAGACGGUUUUGCUGUCACUUAUAGAUGGAUCCGCGCCGCAUUGGCUAGUUGGUAAGGUAACGGCUUACCAAGGCGACGAUGCGUAGCCGACCUGAGAGGGUGAUCGGCCACACUGGAACUGAGACACGGUCCAGACUCCUACGGGAGGCAGCAGUAGGGAAUCUUCCGCAAUGGGCGAAAGCCUGACGGAGCAACGCCGCGUGAGUGAUGAAGGUCUUCGGAUCGUAAAACUCUGUUAUUAGGGAAGAACAAAUGUGUAAGUAACUAUGCACGUCUUGACGGUACCUAAUCAGAAAGCCACGGCUAACUACGUG
This 497-nucleotide ribosomal RNA is filed under the name uncultured bacterium. Its description in RNAcentral is "partial 16S ribosomal RNA". It matches the Rfam family "Bacterial small subunit ribosomal RNA", at positions 28 to 507 of the family's 1533-position model. The record is from RNAcentral.